AUUGAACGCUGGCGGCAGGCCUAACACAUGCAAGUCGAGCGGAGCGGCGGACGGGUGAGUAAGUCCUAGGAAUCUGCCUGGUAGUAGGGGAUAACGUCCGGCAGCGGGCGCUAAUACCGCAUACUAUCAGAUGAGCCUAGGGCGGAUUAGCUAGUGGGUUGGGUAAAGGCCUACCAAGGCGACGAUCCCUACCUGGUCUGAGAGGAUGAUCAGUCAAACUGGAACUGAGACACGGGCCAGACUCCUACGGGAGGCAGCAGUGGGGAAUAUUGGACAAUGGGCGAAAGCCUGAUCCAGCCAUGCCGCGUGUGUGAAGAAGGUCUUCGGAUUGUAAAGCACUUUCAGUUGGGAGGCGUUACCAACAGAAUAAGCCCCGGCUAACUUCGUGCCAGCAGCCGCGGUAAUAC
Molecule: ribosomal RNA, 407 nt
Filed under: uncultured bacterium
Lineage: Bacteria
Description: partial 16S ribosomal RNA
Rfam family: Bacterial small subunit ribosomal RNA
Source: RNAcentral